Molecule: long non-coding RNA, 1134 nt
Organism: Panicum virgatum (switchgrass)
Lineage: Eukaryota; Viridiplantae; Streptophyta; Magnoliopsida; Poales; Poaceae
Exons: 2
Source: RefSeq, a predicted model, not a curated record
UCAACCACUCAACCCAAUCUCAUCGCAGCCCUCGUCUCCCAUCGCGGCGCCGCCCCUGCGCCGACCCCAUCGCGACACCACCACGCCGCGCCCUCAGCCUCGAUGCCGCGCCGCCCUCAUCUCGACGCCGCGCCACCUCUCGACCCUCGACGCCGCGCCGGCCCCCGCGUGUCGACGUCGCCCCCCUCAUCUCGAUGCCACGCCUCGUCCCCGACGCCGCCCCUCCCGAUGCAGAGGCGGAUCCGGAUGAGGCGGCCGGCCGCAGCGCUGCGGCCGUGAGCAGGCUGGAGGAACGGAGCACGGCGGCCGGGGACGCCAGGUUGGUGGCUGCGUAGAGGAAGAGCAGCAUGUCGGCGAUUAACUCCUUGCCGGCCAUGUCGGACCCCCCCCCCCCCCCCCCCCCCCCCGCCCGCUCUCCAUCCCAGACCGCGACUGCCGCGCCUACUCCUACGCUUGUGCCCUCGAGCUCGGCGGCGGCUGCGACAGUGGAGGACGGCGGCAACCACCUCCAACAACAUCGUCCCUUGAUCCAGCCUGCUGUCAGACCCGUACGUCGUCGUCGGCAUCCGCAGCCACCUCCAACAAGAUCAUCACCUUCUGGCGGACCGCAGGUGAUGGCAGCUUCCUUCUGUCUUCCACUCAAUGCAUUCUGACUAUGCAUUAUGCCGUUGCCCAGAAUUUCUCCAGGAGACAAGGGGACUAGAGUUUCCAAAUCUGAUUUGGCAAGAAUUAACCGGGCCAAGCGAGCAAGUUUGUGCAGUCCUUUUCACCCCUUGUGCCCUUCUGUUGUAAUCUGGAGCUACUCAGGAGGAGGCUCAGGAGGCUUCUAACUGAGUUUGUGUGCUCUUAAAUUUGCUGUCAUGGAUCGUGCUUCUAUUUUAAUCUGGAGCUAUUUGGUAUGCUUUUGUGGUAGUCGGGACUCAGCAGGCUUCUCACUGAAUUUGUGUGGUUGUCGUUGGCAUCCAGCCGACCAACAAUGGUGUUUCUGAGCGUGAAAGCUCCAGGCGGGUGUAACUAUUUUGGGUUAACCCAUUGGAUCACUAGUGUAAAUGUUGUAAUGGGUCAGACUAACCCUAAACCCAAAAUAUUUACAUAUGGGUAGGCUGGGUCGGUCACCGGUUGACCCAAACGCGA